UAGAGUUUCGGUAUCGUUGGCUACAGGACGAACGCUGGCGGCGUGCUUAACACAUGCAAGUCGAGCGGUAAGGCCUUCGGGGUACACGAGCGGCGAACGGGUGAGUAACACGUGGGUGACCUGCCCUCCACUCUGGGAUAAGCCCGGGAAACUGGGUCUAAUACCGGAUAGGACUACUGGGUGCAUGCCUGGUGGUGGAAAGUUUUUUCGGUGGGGGAUGGGCCCGCGGUCUAUCAGCUUGUUGGUGGGGUGAUGGCCUACCAAGGCGACGACGGAUAGCCGGCCUGAGAGGGUGAUCGGCCACACUGGGACUGAGACACGGCCCAGACUCCUACGGGAGGCAGCAGUGGGGAAUCUUGCGCAAUGGGCGGAAGCCUGACGCAGCAACGCCGCGUGGGGGAUGACGGCCUUCGGGUUGUAAACCUCUUUCGCGAUCGACGAAGGCCCACUUUCUGUGGGUUGACGGUAGGUCGAGAAGAAGCACCGGCCAACUACGUG
RNAcentral lists this ribosomal RNA (498 nucleotides) under uncultured Actinomycetospora sp. Its description in RNAcentral is "bacterial SSU rRNA". It matches the Rfam family "Bacterial small subunit ribosomal RNA", at positions 1 to 507 of the family's 1533-position model. Lineage: Bacteria; Bacillati; Actinomycetota; Actinomycetes; Pseudonocardiales; Pseudonocardiaceae. The record is from RNAcentral.